This 460-nucleotide ribosomal RNA is filed under the name uncultured bacterium. RNAcentral describes it as "partial 16S ribosomal RNA". It matches the Rfam family "Bacterial small subunit ribosomal RNA", at positions 338 to 795 of the family's 1533-position model. The record is from RNAcentral.
CCUACGGGAGGCAGCAGUGAGGAAUAUUGGUCAAUGGACGCAAGCCUGAACCAGCCAAGUAGCGUGCAGGAUGACGGCUCUAUGAGUUGUAAACUGCUUUUGUACGAGGGUAAACGCAGAUACGCGUAUCUGUUUGAAUGUACCGUAUGAAUAAGGAUCGGCUAACUCCGUGCCAGCAGCCGCGGUAAUACGGAGGAUUCAAGCGUUAUCCGGAUUUAUUGGGUUUAAAGGGUGCGUAGGCGGUCGGUUAAGUUAGAGGUGAAAUGCCGAGGCUCAACCUCGGAAUUGCAGCUGAUACUGGUCGGCUUGAGUGUAGGUGAGGUAGGCGGAAUUCGUGGUGUAGCGGUGAAAUGCUUAGAGAUCACGAAGAACACCGAUUGCGAAGGCAGCUUACCAAGCUGCUUCUGACGUUGAGGCACGAAAGCGUGGGGAGCAAACAGGAUUAGAUACCCUUGUAGUC